Non-coding RNA from Pelobates cultripes (western spadefoot toad), 216 nucleotides. The record is from the annotation of a GenBank genome assembly. Lineage: Eukaryota; Metazoa; Chordata; Amphibia; Anura; Pelobatidae.
CAGCUCUAUGCUUAAUACACCUAAACGCUGAAGCUUUCUAGUCAUUGGUCAUUCUGCCUAAUAUGGGUAGAAAGAUUUGUAGCUUGGUCUUUGCCAUAUGACGUUUUAGUUGCCAAUGAGCCAUCCAGAAAGCUGUAACAGUAAAGCAUACUGAUUGGAAACCUAAAAUUUUAAAGCGUUAAUCCAAGCACCAUGGUCAGUUCAAUGCUAUGAAGU